CUGCUCUGCCCAGGGCUGUCGAGUCGGGGAUAGGCGGAAUAGCAAUAGGAGCGUACGGUUAGCGUGCCGAUACGGCCCGUCCGGAAUUGUUUGGCUCUCACUCGGCAUCUGGGUGACUUGUUUGAUAACUCGGUGUGAUUUUUCCAGAUGCGGACUGGCUAGAUGCCCACCGACGAGCGGCAGAGGAGGAGAGCAGAGCGCCGUAAGAAGGUGGCGGUCAGGCCUCGGCACGGCAGGCCGAAGAAUCCGACUCCGAGCGGCCGAGGAAAAGGGACGGGCGAGAGGAAGGCGUUUCCAAGGAGGGCUUCGUCGCAGCGGAGGUCGACGCCGGGCGGCACGUCGGCGACCGGCGACGCUCUGUCUCGUGAGGGAUGAAGCGGAACCCGGCGGAUGGGGGAGCGUCCCGGUUAGAUGACCUUUUCCCCAUGAGAAGGGAAUCUGGAUUCUGCCCUCUGAAAGGCAGGGAAUCAGAGUAGCUAUCCAGGUGUCCGCAAGCUGCAUCUGUUUGGCCGGGGGGUUGAAGCGGAGGAUCCAGAUUCCAUUGUAGUAGAGAGCUCUGGAACGAGAAGAAUGUUAAGCGAAGCAGGAGAGAUGGACUGUCAAUGUGCCCGAGCUAAUAACUGUCAUUGCUCUGAGUCCUUGCUGUGGUGAUAGUGCAUCACUGGAAACCUAUGUAUUAAUGCCUAAUGUUGUUGUUCUUUAAAGAAAGUAACAAUACAGGUGAAGUAAGAAAGAAUGAUUUUU
Molecule: long non-coding RNA, 744 nt
Organism: Grus americana (Whooping crane)
Lineage: Eukaryota; Metazoa; Chordata; Aves; Gruiformes; Gruidae
Exons: 3
Source: RefSeq, a predicted model, not a curated record